UCGUAACAAGGUUUCCGUAGGUGAACCUGCGGAAGGAUCAUUACUGUGAUUUAGUACUACACUGCGUGAGCGGAACGAAAACAACAACACCUAAAAUGUGGAAUAUAGCAUAUAGUCGACAAGAGAAAUCUACGAAAAACAAACAAAACUUUCAACAACGGAUCUCUUGGUUCUCGCAUCGAUGAAGAGCGCAGCGAAAUGCGAUACCUAGUGUGAAUUGCAGCCAUCGUGAAUCAUCGAGUUCUUGAACGCACAUUGCGCCCCUCGGCAUUCCGGGGGGCAUGCCUGUUUGAGCGUCGUUUCCAUCUUGCGCGUGCGCAGAGUUGGGGGAGCGGAGCGGACGACGUGUAAAGAGCGUCGGAGCUGCGACUCGCCUGAAAGGGAGCGAAGCUGGCCGAGCGAACUAGACUUUUUUUCAGGGACGCUUGGCGGCCGAGAGCGAGUGUUGCGAGACAACAAAAAGCUCGACCUCAAAUCAGGUAGGAAUACCCGCUGAACUUAAGCAUAUCAAUAA
Molecule: unclassified non-coding RNA, 514 nt
Filed under: Pichia kudriavzevii
Lineage: Eukaryota; Fungi; Ascomycota; Pichiomycetes; Pichiales; Pichiaceae
Description: sequence contains 18S rRNA gene, ITS1, 5.8S rRNA gene, ITS2, 28S rRNA gene
Rfam family: 5.8S ribosomal RNA (bases 147-299)
Source: RNAcentral